Molecule: RNA transcript, 2935 nt
Organism: Lathyrus oleraceus (garden pea)
Lineage: Eukaryota; Viridiplantae; Streptophyta; Magnoliopsida; Fabales; Fabaceae
Gene name: pentatricopeptide repeat-containing protein At1g51965, mitochondrial
Exons: 3
Source: RefSeq, a predicted model, not a curated record
UGUUUCUUUUGCUGAAAUUGACUAAUGUAUUGCAAAUUGAGUGAGAUAUACUAGUAAUUUACCAAUAUUCUCAAAAAUAAAACUUGAAAUUCUCAUUUUACAAUGAACUCUCGGAGCCAAAAUCGUUUGAAAGAGUAGCGAGCAGAGCACUGAAAAUCAUUUGAUGGAGAACUAGAGUCCAACCGAAACCAAUGAAACCAAUUCACUUCAAUUUCCGCCGCCACUUCGCCACCAAAUACACCGCAAAAAUCACCUCCACCUCCCCCACCGGCCGUUCCCUAGCCGCAGAAGUAACCCCACCGCCACCACUCCCCUCCGACAUCCGAGGCUACUCCCUCCCCCGCCAUGACCUAGUCUGCAAAGCCACUCAAAUCCUCCUCUCCACCACAAACCCCCAUUCCACCAAACAAACCACUCUCCACGACCCGUUCUCCGACCUCUCCGAAUAUCUCCAAUCUCUCUCCAUCUCCCUAACUCCUCUAGAAGCUUCCGAAAUUCUCAAAUCACUCAAAAACCCUUCCCUCGCUCUCAAAUUCUUCCACUUUUGCCCCUCCCUUUCGCCCAAUUUCCGUCAUGACUCCUUCACCUAUAACCGAAUGUUCCUUAUUCUCUCCCUCUCGUCUUCCCCUCUUCGAUUCGAUCAAACCGAAUCCCUUCUCGAUGAUAUGGAGCGGCGCGGCCUGCGUGGCUCUAUCUCAACCGUUAAUAUUCUUAUUGGAUUUUUCGGUGAUUUGGAUCGUUGUGUUGGGUUGGUUAAGAAAUGGGAGCUUAGACUUAAUGCUUAUACUUAUAAGUGUUUGCUUCAAGCUUAUUUGAGGCUACGUGAUUCUGAUAAGGCUUUUGAUGUUUAUUUGGAUAUGUUGAGACGUGGUUAUCAAUUGGAUAUUUUUGCUUAUAACAUGCUUUUGGAUGCUUUGGCUAAGGAGAAUAAGGUAGAUCAAGCAUAUAAAGUUUUUGAGGACAUGAAACGAAGGCAUUGUGAGCCUGAUACGUUCACCUACACCAUUAUGAUCAGAAUGACUGGGAAAUCCGGCAAAACAAACGAGGCGCUAGCACUCUUUCAGGUGAUGUUAGAAAAGGGAUUCACUCCGAAUUUGAUUGCUUAUAAUACUAUGAUUGAGGCACUUGCCAAGGGGCGGAUGGCAGACAAGGCUGUCCUACUCUUCUCAAAAAUGGUGGAGAAUGAUUGUCAGCCUAAUGAAUUUACGUACAGUGUGCUUUUGAAUGUUCUGGUUGCUGAAGGACAGCUUCAUAAGCUUGACUAUAUUGUAGAGAUAUCAAAAAAAUAUAUGAAUAAGCAGAUAUAUGCUUAUUUUGUAAGGACUUUAAGCAAAUUGGGUCAUUCCUCUGAAGCACAUAGGCUAUUUUGCAACAUGUGGAACUUCCAUGACAAGGGUGAUAAAGAUGCUUACAUGUCCAUGCUGGAGAGUUUAUGCAGUAGUGGUAAAAUGACAGAAGCAAUAGAUCUUCUUAAUAGAUUUCAUGAAAAGUGUAUAACCAGUGAUACUAUCAUGUAUAAUACAGUAUUCACGGCUCUUGGCAAGUUGAAACAAGUAUCACAUAUCUAUGACCUUUACGAAAAGAUGAAACGCGACGGCCCUCCUCCCGAUAUAUUCACAUACAAUAUUCUGAUUUCCAGCUACGGGAGAGCUGGAAGAGUUGACAGUGCUGUUAAAAUUUUCGAAGAGCUAGAGAAUAGUAAUUGUGAUCCCGAUGUCAUUUCCUAUAACAGUUUGAUCAACUGCCUCGGAAAGAAUGGAGAUGUUGAUGAAGCUCACAUGAGAUUCAAAGAGAUGCAAGAGAAAGGACUAAAUCCUGAUGUUGUAACUUAUAGUACACUUAUUGAGUGCUUUGGCAAGACUGAUAAAGUUGAAAUGGCGUGUAGCUUGUUCGAUGAAAUGAUUGCUGAAGAAUGCUCUCCUAACUUAGUAACAUAUAAUAUUUUACUCGAUUGUCUUGAAAGGUCUGGAAGAACUGCCGAGGCAGUGGACCUUUAUGCAAAACUGAAGCAACAAGGGCUGACACCAGAUUCAAUAACAUAUGCAGUGCUUGAGCGCUUGCAAAGUGGUAGACACGGGAAGUUGAGAAUUCGCAGACAGAAUCCAAUUACAGGAUGGGUUGUUAGCCCUUUGUGAUGAUAUAGAACACUUUGCUAUACAUUCAUUCGGCAGAAAUUCCUUUUUGUUAGGCCUUCUGAGGGUUCUUUGUCUAAAGCUACUAUAGCUGUGUUGUUGAGGUGAAGAAGAUAUAUGAUUAUAGCCAUUUGGUCCGCGUUGACACUCUUGUUGGUCGGCAACAUACUCAAGUUUUUCUGCAUUGGGAUUUGUGGCUUGCAUCAUGGUAGUUCAAUGAAAAGAUGCUUGAUGUCAGUGUCUGUGUAAGUGCUUCACAGGUUUGUGGAUCAACAAAUGAGAUCACAUAUAUGUUACUAAUAAUGAAGUAGUUUAUUGGUCACUUACCUUGAUGAGGUAAUCCAUCUCAAUGAACUUGAAGUGAAAGCCAAUGCUGCCAAAAAGGGGAGCCACAAAAGCACAUGCACGGGAAAAAGCAGCAACCUCAAUCACAUUUUCAGAGAUGAUAACGUCUGCGAGCUCUUUGAACGCAUCUGCAAUUUUGCCAAGAGGUUUUUCAUCGACGGCUGUUGUGGAAGCCACCCUGCUUCUUCUUCUUACGAUCUCCUCCUCCGCGUUGUUGUCAGCAUGAUCAUGUACCAAUUGCUGCUGCUCUUUCCUUGCAGUGGCAGAAAAGCACCUCAGAAAAAUACCAAGUGCUUUGGGCACUUUUCUUUGACGUCCAUGUUGUACAUUAUCUGCCAUAGUAUGGAAGAAAGAAUAAUAAGAUUAUACUUCUUAGUCCUUGGUGUAUAUAUAUUGUGUAUGUGUGAAUGUGUUGAGGAGUUCAAAUUGGAAUCAAUUUGAAGAAAGAUUUCUUUGAA